UACGGAGGAUGCAAGCGUUAUCCGGAAUGAUUGGGCGUAAAGCGUCCGCAGGUGGUUAUACAAGUCUGCUGUCAAAGCGCAAGGCUCAACCUUGUAAAGGCAGUGGAAACUGUGUGACUAGAGAGUGAUAGGGGCAGAGGGAAUUCCCAGUGUAGCGGUGAAAUGCGUAGAGAUUGGGAAGAACACCGGUGGCGAAAGCGCUCUGCUGGGUCAUAUCUGACACUGAGGGACGAAAGCUAGGGGAGCGAA
Molecule: ribosomal RNA, 249 nt
Filed under: uncultured bacterium
Lineage: Bacteria
Description: partial 16S ribosomal RNA
Rfam family: Bacterial small subunit ribosomal RNA
Source: RNAcentral